RNAcentral lists this ribosomal RNA (732 nucleotides) under uncultured bacterium. RNAcentral describes it as "bacterial SSU rRNA". It matches the Rfam family "Bacterial small subunit ribosomal RNA", at positions 771 to 1501 of the family's 1533-position model. The record is from RNAcentral.
AACAGGAUUAGAUACCCUGGUAGUCCACGCCAUAAACGAUGAUAACUAGCUGUCCGGACACUUGGUGUUUGGGUGGCGCAGCUAACGCAUUAAGUUAUCCGCCUGGGGAGUACGGCCGCAAGGUUAAAACUCAAAUGAAUUGACGGGGGCCUGCACAAGCGGUAGAGCAUGUAGUUUAAUUCGAAGCAACGCGCAGAACCUUACCAGCGUUUGACAUGUCCGGACGAUUUCCAGAGAUGGAUCUCUUCCCUUCGGGGACUGGAACACAGGUGCUGCAUGGCUGUCGUCAGCUCGUGUCGUGAGAUGUUGGGUUAAGUCCCGCAACGAGCGCAACCCUCGCCUUUAGUUACCAUCAUUCAGUUGGGUACUCUAAAGGAACCGCCGGUGAUAAGCCGGAGGAAGGUGGGGAUGACGUCAAGUCCUCAUGGCCCUUACGCGCUGGGCUACACACGUGCUACAAUGGCAACUACAGUGGGCAGCAAUCCCGCGAGGGUGAGCUAAUCUCCAAAAGUUGUCUCAGUUCGGAUUGUUCUCUGCAACUCGAGAGCAUGAAGGCGGAAUCGCUAGUAAUCGCGGAUCAGCAUGCCGCGGUGAAUACGUUCCCAGGCCUUGUACACACCGCCCGUCACACCAUGGGAGUUGGAUUCACCCGAAGGCGUUGCGCUAACUCGCAAGAGAGGCAGGCGACCACGGUGGGUUUAGCGACUGGGGUGAAGUCGUAACAAGGUAACC